UACAGAGGUCUCAAGCGUUGUUCGGAUUCAUUGGGCGUAAAGGGUGCGUAGGCGGCGCGGUAAGUCGGGUGUGAAAUCUCGGAGCUUAACUCCGAAACUGCAUUCGAUACUGCCGUGCUUGAGGACUGGAGAGGAGACUGGAAUUUACGGUGUAGCGGUGAAAUGCGUAGAUAUCGUAAGGAAGACCAGUGGCGAAGGCGAGUCUCUGGACAGUUACCGACGCUGAGGCACGAAGGUCAGGGGAGCAAACGGG
Molecule: ribosomal RNA, 253 nt
Filed under: uncultured bacterium
Lineage: Bacteria
Description: partial 16S ribosomal RNA
Rfam family: Bacterial small subunit ribosomal RNA
Source: RNAcentral